CCAAGGUGAGGGUGGCCUUCCUGGGCUUCAAAAGCAAAGGCUCUGGGGACCUUGGACCUGGACACUGGAUGAAGACUCUGCCAUAUUGGAUAUGCCUCUAACCAUGAGAUUGCUGGUGGCAAAGAGAAAAGGGAUGCAGUGUGGAGGCAGCAGAUAACAAUAUGAAAUGCUAAAUAGUCAACUGCUUAAGGGAUCAUUUCUCCCUUUCUGUGUUCCCCAAGAUGAAUAACAUCAGCAGCAAGGAAACAAGGCCCAAGCACAGAAACAGCACAUCUUUUUGUGCGGAGGAUGUCAAAUGCAUGACAGAAACAGG
Molecule: long non-coding RNA, 313 nt
Filed under: Gallus gallus (chicken)
Lineage: Eukaryota; Metazoa; Chordata; Aves; Galliformes; Phasianidae
Source: RNAcentral